This 811-nucleotide ribosomal RNA is filed under the name uncultured organism. Its description in RNAcentral is "SSU rRNA". It matches the Rfam family "Bacterial small subunit ribosomal RNA", at positions 28 to 808 of the family's 1533-position model. The record is from RNAcentral.
GACGAACGCUGGCGGCGUGCCUAAUACAUGCAAGUCGAGCGCGGGAAGCUUGCGGAAUCUUUCGGGAGGAAGUGAGCGGACCGAGCGGCGGACGGGUGAGUAACACGUGGGCAACCUGCCCGUAAGACGGGGAUAACCCCGGGAAACCGGGGCUAAUACCGGAUAGGUGACCUUUCUGCAUGGAGGGGUCAUGAAAGGCGGCGGAAGCCGUCGCUUACGGAGGGGCCCGCGGCGCAUUAGCUAGUUGGUGAGGGAAGGGCUCACCAAGGCGACGAUGCGUAGCCGGCCUGAGAGGGUGAACGGCCACACUGGGACUGAGACACGGCCCAGACUCCUACGGGAGGCAGCAGUAGGGAAUCUUCCGCAAUGGACGGAAGUCUGACGGAGCAACGCCGCGUGAGUGAGGAAGGCCUUCGGGUCGUAAAGCUCUGUUGUUCGUGAAGAAGGGGUUGGCCAGGAAAUGGGCCGACAUUGACGGUAGCGAACCAGAAAGCCCCGGCUAACUACGUGCCAGCAGCCGCGGUAACACGUAGGGGGCAAGCGUUGUCCGGAAUGAUUGGGCGUAAAGGGCGCGCAGGCGGCCUCUUAAGUCUGAUGUGAAAGCCCACGGCUCAACCGUGGAGGGACAUUGGAAACUGGGGGGCUUGAGUGCAGGAGAGGGGAGUGGAAUUCCACGUGUAGCGGUGAAAUGCGUAGAGAUGUGGAGGAACACCAGUGGCGAAGGCGGCUCUCUGGCCUGUGACUGACGCUGAGGCGCGAAAGCGUGGGGAGCGAACAGGAUUAGAUACCCUGGUAGUCCACGCCGUAAACC